AAGCGCCCAAGCCCACCUCCCUCACACCGCUCCCCGCCCACGCGCCGCGCUAGCAAAAGCCGCCGCCCACCGCCGGUUCGAAAUCCCAAACCGGAAGCCGCCCCGCACGCAGCGGCAACGGAGGGCGCGGAGUGCGGGGGCGCCUCUGCGGGGUCGCUUGGCUUCAGCGGCGCGCGCGGAGCGGCCGCGGCACGGGCAGCCCGGCCGCCUCCCGCUCUCCAGGUAGUCCGAUGGUUCUCCGGAUAAGCAUCCAAAUGGCUAAUUCGAUCGAAGCCACUUGAUGGAAUUAAUAGGACAGGAGAAUACCAGUGGGUGGAGGAGGAGCUGUUGAGGACUUGAGGCGGGACUGGAGCUCGAGAAGGAAAAACAGGGCCUUUUGUACCAUUUGCAACUGCAGUUUGGCCAAACUGAGGUCGACAGUUCAAGCUCCGGCCUCAUACCAAGGGAAAGCUACUGCGCAAGGUGCACUUUGGGCAUUGACUGUGUGGGACCACAAAAUAUACGAACAAGGUUUUUCUGUGCUUUUGUAGCUGUACUCGUCAUAGAAGAUGAUGAAACUCUCUUGGAUCCUCAUCACUUGCCAACUUCGGCAGUUGCUAGUUUCUGCUAAUAUAGUAAGGUAAUCACGUGCAACUGGAUUAUAAUAUAGCAUGAGUCGUGUGGUGAUGAUAACAAACUGUGGUCCUUUAAGUUUUGUAAAGUGCACCUUGCAGUCUUGCACAGUAGCUUUGUUAAGCAACCCUGAACAAUCAUGUUCAUGGGCUGAUAGUACAAGUGUUAACUGAAAACAACUUUGUUUCGUUGUUUGAAAGCUAAUAUUGUGCAUAUAUUUGUUCCGUGCUAGUCAACAUGACAGGGUACUUACUGGUA
Panicum virgatum (switchgrass) is the source of this 870-nucleotide long non-coding RNA. RefSeq lists it as uncharacterized. The transcript is spliced from 4 exons. The record is from RefSeq and is a predicted model, not a curated record. Lineage: Eukaryota; Viridiplantae; Streptophyta; Magnoliopsida; Poales; Poaceae.